GAUGAAGAACGUAGGGAAAUGCGAUAAGUAAUGUGAAUUGCAGAAUUCAGUGAAUCAUCGAAUCUUUGAACGCACAUUGCGCCCUCUGGUAUUCCGGGGGGCAUGCCUGUUCGAGCGUCAUUAUAACCACUCAAGCUCUCGCUUGGUAUUGGGGUUCGCGGUUUCGCGGCCCCUAAAAUCAGUGGCGGUGCCUGUCGGCUCUACGCGUAGUAAUACUUCUCGCGAUUGAGUCCGAUAGGUCUACUUGCCAGUAACCCCCAAUUUUUACAGGUUGACCUCGGAUCAGGUAGGGAUACCCGCUGAACUUAAGCAUAUCAAUAAGCGGAGGA
This 329-nucleotide unclassified non-coding RNA is filed under the name soil metagenome. Its description in RNAcentral is "partial contains 5.8S ribosomal RNA, internal transcribed spacer 2, and large subunit ribosomal RNA". The stretch from base 1 to 120 matches the Rfam family "5.8S ribosomal RNA", at positions 35 to 154 of the family's 154-position model. The record is from RNAcentral.